This 2904-nucleotide ribosomal RNA is filed under the name Escherichia coli. RNAcentral's name for it is "23S ribosomal RNA". It matches the Rfam family "Bacterial large subunit ribosomal RNA". Lineage: Bacteria; Pseudomonadati; Pseudomonadota; Gammaproteobacteria; Enterobacterales; Enterobacteriaceae. The record is from RNAcentral.
UUAAGCGACUAAGCGUACACGGUGGAUGCCCUGGCAGUCAGAGGCGAUGAAGGACGUGCUAAUCUGCGAUAAGCGUCGGUAAGGUGAUAUGAACCGUUAUAACCGGCGAUUUCCGAAUGGGGAAACCCAGUGUGAUUCGUCACACUAUCAUUAACUGAAUCCAUAGGUUAAUGAGGCGAACCGGGGGAACUGAAACAUCUAAGUACCCCGAGGAAAAGAAAUCAACCGAGAUUCCCCCAGUAGCGGCGAGCGAACGGGGAGCAGCCCAGAGCCUGAAUCAGUGUGUGUGUUAGUGGAAGCGUCUGGAAAGGCGCGCGAUACAGGGUGACAGCCCCGUACACAAAAAUGCACAUACUGUGAGCUCGAUGAGUAGGGCGGGACACGUGGUAUCCUGUCUGAAUAUGGGGGGACCAUCCUCCAAGGCUAAAUACUCCUGACUGACCGAUAGUGAACCAGUACCGUGAGGGAAAGGCGAAAAGAACCCCGGCGAGGGGAGUGAAAAAGAACCUGAAACCGUGUACGUACAAGCAGUGGGAGCACAGAGCAAUCUGUGUGACUGCGUACCUUUUGUAUAAUGGGUCAGCGACUUAUAUUCUGUAGCAAGGUUAACCGAAUAGGGGAGCCGAAGGGAAACCGAGUCUUAACUGGGCGUUAAGUUGCAGGGUAUAGACCCGAAACCCGGUGAUCUAGCCAUGGGCAGGUUGAAGGUUGGGUAACACUAACUGGAGGACCGAACCGACUAAUGUUGAAAAAUUAGCGGAUGACUUGUGGCUGGGGGUGAAAGGCCAAUCAAACCGGGAGAUAGCUGGUUCUCCCCGAAAGCUAUUUAGGUAGCGCCUCGUGAAUUCAUCUCCGGGGGUAGAGCACUGUUUCGGCAAGGGGGUCAUCCCGACUUACCAACCCGAUGCAAACUGCGAAUACCGGAGAAUGUUAUCACGGGAGACACACGGCGGGUGCUAACGUCCGUCGUGAAGAGGGAAACAACCCAGACCGCCAGCUAAGGUCCCAAAGUCAUGGUUAAGUGGGAAACGAUGUGGGAAGGCCCAGACAGCCAGGAUGUUGGCUUAGAAGCAGCCAUCAUUUAAAGAAAGCGUAAUAGCUCACUGGUCGAGUCGGCCUGCGCGGAAGAUGUAACGGGGCUAAACCAUGCACCGAAGCUGCGGCAGCGACGCUUAUGCGUUGUUGGGUAGGGGAGCGUUCUGUAAGCCUGCGAAGGUGUGCUGUGAGGCAUGCUGGAGGUAUCAGAAGUGCGAAUGCUGACAUAAGUAACGAUAAAGCGGGUGAAAAGCCCGCUCGCCGGAAGACCAAGGGUUCCUGUCCAACGUUAAUCGGGGCAGGGUGAGUCGACCCCUAAGGCGAGGCCGAAAGGCGUAGUCGAUGGGAAACAGGUUAAUAUUCCUGUACUUGGUGUUACUGCGAAGGGGGGACGGAGAAGGCUAUGUUGGCCGGGCGACGGUUGUCCCGGUUUAAGCGUGUAGGCUGGUUUUCCAGGCAAAUCCGGAAAAUCAAGGCUGAGGCGUGAUGACGAGGCACUACGGUGCUGAAGCAACAAAUGCCCUGCUUCCAGGAAAAGCCUCUAAGCAUCAGGUAACAUCAAAUCGUACCCCAAACCGACACAGGUGGUCAGGUAGAGAAUACCAAGGCGCUUGAGAGAACUCGGGUGAAGGAACUAGGCAAAAUGGUGCCGUAACUUCGGGAGAAGGCACGCUGAUAUGUAGGUGAAGUCCCUCGCGGAUGGAGCUGAAAUCAGUCGAAGAUACCAGCUGGCUGCAACUGUUUAUUAAAAACACAGCACUGUGCAAACACGAAAGUGGACGUAUACGGUGUGACGCCUGCCCGGUGCCGGAAGGUUAAUUGAUGGGGUCAGCGCAAGCGAAGCUCUUGAUCGAAGCCCCGGUAAACGGCGGCCGUAACUAUAACGGUCCUAAGGUAGCGAAAUUCCUUGUCGGGUAAGUUCCGACCUGCACGAAUGGCGUAAUGAUGGCCAGGCUGUCUCCACCCGAGACUCAGUGAAAUUGAACUCGCUGUGAAGAUGCAGUGUACCCGCGGCAAGACGGAAAGACCCCGUGAACCUUUACUAUAGCUUGACACUGAACAUUGAGCCUUGAUGUGUAGGAUAGGUGGGAGGCUUUGAAGUGUGGACGCCAGUCUGCAUGGAGCCGACCUUGAAAUACCACCCUUUAAUGUUUGAUGUUCUAACGUUGACCCGUGAUCCGGGUUGCGGACAGUGUCUGGUGGGUAGUUUGACUGGGGCGGUCUCCUCCUAAAGAGUAACGGAGGAGCACGAAGGUUGGCUAAUCCUGGUCGGACAUCAGGAGGUUAGUGCAAUGGCAUAAGCCAGCUUGACUGCGAGCGUGACGGCGCGAGCAGGUGCGAAAGCAGGUCAUAGUGAUCCGGUGGUUCUGAAUGGAAGGGCCAUCGCUCAACGGAUAAAAGGUACUCCGGGGAUAACAGGCUGAUACCGCCCAAGAGUUCAUAUCGACGGCGGUGUUUGGCACCUCGAUGUCGGCUCAUCACAUCCUGGGGCUGAAGUAGGUCCCAAGGGUAUGGCUGUUCGCCAUUUAAAGUGGUACGCGAGCUGGGUUUAGAACGUCGUGAGACAGUUCGGUCCCUAUCUGCCGUGGGCGCUGGAGAACUGAGGGGGGCUGCUCCUAGUACGAGAGGACCGGAGUGGACGCAUCACUGGUGUUCGGGUUGUCAUGCCAAUGGCACUGCCCGGUAGCUAAAUGCGGAAGAGAUAAGUGCUGAAAGCAUCUAAGCACGAAACUUGCCCCGAGAUGAGUUCUCCCUGACUCCUUGAGAGUCCUGAAGGAACGUUGAAGACGACGACGUUGAUAGGCCGGGUGUGUAAGCGCAGCGAUGCGUUGAGCUAACCGGUACUAAUGAACCGUGAGGCUUAACCUU